RNAcentral lists this ribosomal RNA (465 nucleotides) under Vreelandella stevensii. Its description in RNAcentral is "partial 16S ribosomal RNA". It matches the Rfam family "Bacterial small subunit ribosomal RNA", at positions 338 to 795 of the family's 1533-position model. Lineage: Bacteria; Pseudomonadati; Pseudomonadota; Gammaproteobacteria; Oceanospirillales; Halomonadaceae. The record is from RNAcentral.
CCUACGGGUGGCAGCAGUGGGGAAUAUUGGACUAUGGGGGCAACCCUGAUCCAGCCAUGCCGCGUGUGUGAAGAAGGCCCUCGGGUUGUAAAGCACUUUCAGUGAGGAAGAACGCCUGGUGGUUAAUACCCAUCAGGAAAGACAUCACUCACAGAAGAAGCACCGGCUAACUCCGUGCCAGCAGCCGCGGUAAUACGGAGGGUGCGAGCGUUAAUCGGAAUUACUGGGCGUAAAGCGCGCGUAGGUGGCUUGAUAAGCCGGUUGUGAAAGCCCCGGGCUCAACCUGGGAACGGCAUCCGGAACUGUCAAGCUAGAGUGCAGGAGAGGAAGGUAGAAUUCCCGGUGUAGCGGUGAAAUGCGUAGAGAUCGGGAGGAAUACCAGUGGCGAAGGCGGCCUUCUGGACUGACACUGACACUGAGGUGCGAAAGCGUGGGUAGCAAACAGGAUUAGAUACCCCGGUAGUC